AAUUAUUUUAACGGCCGCGGUAUUCUAACCGUGCGAAGGUAGCGUAAUCACUUGUCUUCUAAAUAAAGACCUGUAUGAACGGCUAAAUGAGGAUAGACCUGUCUCCUAUAAUUAAUCAGUGAAACUGAUCCCCCAGUACAAAAGCUGGGAUACCACCAUUAGACGAGAAGACCCUGUGGAGCUUUAAACCCACUAUUAAAAAGCUAAGUUGCACCUAGUAUGCGGUUUUAAGUUGGGGCGACUUCGGAACAAAACAAAACUUCCAAGCACAGAACCAUAAACUCUAACAACGGCCAACAAGCCAAAGUUUAAAAUAUCAGACCCAGUAUUACUGACCAACGAACCAAGUUACCCCAGGGAUAACAGCGCCAUCUUCUUCAAGAGUCCAUAUCGACAAGAAGGUUUACGACCUCGAUGUUGGAUCAGGACACCCAAAUGGUGCAGCCGCUAUUAAAGGUUCGUUUGUUCAACGAUUAACAGUCCUACGUGAUCUGAGUUCAGACCGG
This 506-nucleotide ribosomal RNA is filed under the name Pseudoacontias sp. CaNew Andokobe. RNAcentral's name for it is "partial large subunit ribosomal RNA". It matches the Rfam family "Bacterial large subunit ribosomal RNA", at positions 1915 to 2619 of the family's 2925-position model. The record is from RNAcentral. Lineage: Eukaryota; Metazoa; Chordata; Lepidosauria; Squamata; Scincidae.